This 69-nucleotide ribozyme is filed under the name unclassified sequences. Its description in RNAcentral is "HDV ribozyme from F. prausnitzii". It matches the Rfam family "HDV ribozyme from F. prausnitzii". The record is from RNAcentral.
GCUGCUCAGAUAUGCUGCCUCUCCGUGGCGAGCAGUAGGCAACGGGAUAACAUCCCGGCUAAAGCAUAA